Molecule: unclassified non-coding RNA, 163 nt
Filed under: soil metagenome
Description: partial internal transcribed spacer 1
Source: RNAcentral
CAGGACUCGCAAGACUCCUACAACCCUGUGAACUUAACUAUAAGCACGUUGCUUCGGCGGGUGUCUCGGCGAGGGUUCUCCCUCCCCGGGGCGCUAAGCCCGCCGGCAGCCUACUAUACUCUGCCUCUUUGCGUUGGCAUCUCGAGUACAAUCAAACAAGUUA